Molecule: ribosomal RNA, 255 nt
Filed under: uncultured bacterium
Lineage: Bacteria
Description: partial 16S ribosomal RNA
Rfam family: Bacterial small subunit ribosomal RNA
Source: RNAcentral
UACAGAGGGGGCAAGCGUUGUUCGGAAUUACUGGGCGUAAAGGGCGCGUAGGCGGCCUGUUAAGUCGAACGUGAAAUCCCCGGGCUCAACCCGGGAACUGCGUCCGAUACUGGCAGGCUUGAAUUCGGGAGAGGGAUGCGGAAUUCCAGGUGUAGCGGUGAAAUGCGUAGAUAUCGGGAGGAACACCUGAGAUGUAGAUGGCUUACUGGACCGUAACUGACGCUGAGGCACGAAAGCGUGGGUAGCAAACAGGGA